AGAGUUUGAUCCUGGCUCAGAUUGAACGCUGGCGGCAGGCCUAACACAUGCAAGUCGAGCGGCAGCGACAACAUUGAACCUUCGGGGGAUUUGUUGGGCGGCGAGCGGCGGACGGGUGAGUAAUGCCUGGGAAAUUGCCCUGAUGUGGGGGAUAACCAUUGGAAACGAUGGCUAAUACCGCAUGAUAGCUUCGGCUCAAAGAGGGGGACCUUCGGGCCUCUCGCGUCAGGAUAUGCCCAGGUGGGAUUAGCUAGUUGGUGAGGUAAGGGCUCACCAAGGCGACGAUCCCUAGCUGGUCUGAGAGGAUGAUCAGCCACACUGGAACUGAGACACGGUCCAGACUCCUACGGGAGGCAGCAGUGGGGAAUAUUGCACAAUGGGCGCAAGCCUGAUGCAGCCAUGCCGCGUGUAUGAAGAAGGCCUUCGGGUUGUAAAGUACUUUCAGCAGUGAGGAAGGAGGUAUCGUUAAUAGCGGUAUCUUUUGACGUUAGCUGCAGAAGAAGCACCGGCUAACUCCGUGCCAGCAGCCGCGGUAAUACGGAGGGUGCGAGCGUUAAUCGGAAUUACUGGGCGUAAAGCGCAUGCAGGUGGUUUGUUAAGUCAGAUGUGAAAGCCCGGGGCUCAACCUCGGAAUUGCAUUUGAAACUGGCAGGCUAGAGUACUGUAGAGGGGGGUAGAAUUUCAGGUGUAGCGGUGAAAUGCGUAGAGAUCUGAAGGAAUACCGGUGGCGAAGGCGGCCCCCUGGACAGAUACUGACACUCAGAUGCGAAAGCGUG
This 776-nucleotide ribosomal RNA is filed under the name uncultured bacterium. RNAcentral describes it as "bacterial SSU rRNA". It matches the Rfam family "Bacterial small subunit ribosomal RNA", at positions 8 to 763 of the family's 1533-position model. The record is from RNAcentral.